AUCUCUUUGCCAUUUGGCUUAGAUCAAGUGUAGUAUCUGUUCUUUUCAGUGUAACAGCUGAAACGUCAUCACUGAUGACAUAUAAUAUUAUUGCUAUUUUUGGACUUUUCGUCUCGGGGCUCGAUGGGCUUGCUCACACUCCGGGGCACAGUGUCGUUACCACUACACCUUCGGUUUCUGACGCAAUACUUU
RNAcentral lists this small nuclear RNA (192 nucleotides) under Metschnikowia bicuspidata var. bicuspidata NRRL YB-4993. RNAcentral describes it as "U2 spliceosomal RNA". It matches the Rfam family "U2 spliceosomal RNA". Rfam says of the family: U2 is a small nuclear RNA (snRNA) component of the spliceosome (involved in pre-mRNA splicing). Complementary binding between U2 snRNA (in an area lying towards the 5' end but 3' to hairpin I) and the branchpoint sequence (BPS) of the intron results the bulging out of an unpaired adenosine, on the BPS, which initiates a nucleophilic attack at the intronic 5' splice site, thus starting the first of two transesterification reactions that mediate splicing. Lineage: Eukaryota; Fungi; Ascomycota; Pichiomycetes; Serinales; Metschnikowiaceae. The record is from Rfam by way of RNAcentral.